UAAUUAGCGGUAAAUACAACAUAUUCUUAAGUAAAUAAGAAUAUAGAUAAAAAUAACAAAUAAGAGAAAAUAUUAGGAUGUUAUUAUAUAUAAUGUCCUUUUCCCUUUUCUUCUUAUUUUGUUUUUUUUAUUCUAUUUCUUUUUUUACUUAAGAAUGUAUUUACUUGAUUGUAAAGCUUCUUAGAGGAACAUUGUGUGUCUAACACAAGGAAGUUUAAGGCAACAACAGGUCUGUGAUGUCCUUAGAUGAACUAGGCUGCACGCGUGCUACACUGAUAUAUAUAACGAGUUAUUAAAAAUAUAUCUGUGUAUAUAUGUAUUUUAUAUAUAUAUACAAAAGGUAUAAUUUUCCUCCACUGAAAAGUGUAGGUAAUCUUUAUCAAUAUAUAUCGUGAUGGGGAUAGAUUAUUGCAAUUAUUAAUCUUGAACGAGGAAUGCCUAGUAAGCAUGAUUCAUCAGAUUGU
This 464-nucleotide ribosomal RNA is filed under the name Plasmodium sp. ex Aplonis atrifusca. Its description in RNAcentral is "bacterial SSU rRNA". It matches the Rfam family "Eukaryotic small subunit ribosomal RNA", at positions 1352 to 1639 of the family's 1831-position model. Lineage: Eukaryota; Apicomplexa; Aconoidasida; Haemosporida; Plasmodiidae. The record is from RNAcentral.